AAUCAUCAUCAAAGAGAAGCAAAGAAAGCCAAAGAAAAGAGAGUGUGAUCCAGCUGGAGUCUACUCAUCAGUGCGAACUGGAGACGUCAGUUAUGGACAAAUCACCAUCAAAGACAAGAAAAACAGAUCAAAGACCAGAGCCAGUGGAGGGAAAUCUGGAGGUGAUGACAUCACAUACAGUGACCUCAAAAUAUUACAUCAUCACCAGCAGCAGCCAACCAACCAGAGCAGAGAGCUUCCAUCAAAUCCAAAUGUUGUCUAUUCCUCACUGAAGAAAUCUGCAAGUCCAACCUAACAACCAGCUGCUGGUCCACACAGGCCGUCAGACCAGAGGGCUUUCGUUAUAAAACAGAUGUGUAUGUAUUCUGUUUGAUCUCUUCAUUAAAUGCACUCACAGAACUGCAGACGGACAAAGAAAAACUGAAUGUGGUGAUGAGACGUUUUUGUAAAGAAGCUCAAAAAAAAGUAUUUUUGUCACACUGCCUCUCUAUGUCUGCAAGGCCAAAACAGAAACAUUAUACUGUAUGUAUAUGCUAUGCAUUAUAUAGUCUAUAACUGAUAAAUAAACAUAAUGCAAUGUAUUUAAAAUAAUCAGUA
Non-coding RNA from Maylandia zebra (zebra mbuna), 597 nucleotides. NCBI's taxonomy places the organism in Eukaryota, Metazoa, Chordata, Actinopteri, Cichliformes, Cichlidae. The record is from RefSeq and is a predicted model, not a curated record.